This 433-nucleotide ribosomal RNA is filed under the name uncultured bacterium. Its description in RNAcentral is "partial 16S ribosomal RNA". It matches the Rfam family "Bacterial small subunit ribosomal RNA", at positions 29 to 507 of the family's 1533-position model. The record is from RNAcentral.
AACGAACGCUGGCGGCAUGCCUAACACAUGCAAGUCGAACGAGACCUUCGGGUCUAGUGGCGCACGGGUGCGUAACGCGUGGGAACCUGCCCUUAGGUUCGGAAUAACUCCCCGAAAGGGGUGCUAAUACCGGAUAAUGUCUUCGGACCAAAGAUUUAUCGCCUUUGGAUGGGCCCGCGUUGGAUUAGCUAGUUGGUAGGGUAAAAGCCUACCAAGGCGACGAUCCAUAGCUGGUCUGAGAGGAUGAUCAGCCACACUGGGACUGAGACACGGCCCAGACUCCUACGGGAGGGAGCAGUGGGGAAUAUUGGACAAUGGGCGAAAGCCUGAUCCAGCAAUGCCGCAUGAGUGAUGAAGGCCUUAGGGUUGUAAAGCUCUUUUACCCGGGAUGAUAAUGACAGUACCGGGAGAAUAAGCUCCGGCUAACUCCGUG